UCCAGACUCCUACGGGAGGCAGCAGUGGGGAAUAUUGCGCAAUGGGCGAAAGCCUGACGCAGCGACGCCGCGUGAGGGAUGAAGGUCUUCGGAUCGUAAACCUCUGUCAGCAGGGAAGAACGGUCACUGUGCUAAUCAGCAGUGAAUUGACGGUACCUGCAAAGGAAGCACCGGCUAACUCCGUGCCAGCAGCCGCGGUAAUACGGAGGGUGCGAGCGUUAUCCGGAUUCAUUGGGCGUAAAGCGCGCGUAGGCGGCCGCCUAAGCGGAACCUCUAACCCCGGGGCUCAACCUCGGGCCGGGUUCCGGACUGGGCGGCUCGAGUGCGGUAGAGGAGAGCGGAAUUCCCGGUGUAGCGGUGGAAUGCGCAGAUAUCGGGAAGAACACCGAUGGCGAAGGCAGCUCUCUGGGCCGUCACUGACGCUGAGGCGCGAAAGCUGGGGGAGCGAACAGGAUUAGAUACCCCGGUA
RNAcentral lists this ribosomal RNA (469 nucleotides) under uncultured bacterium. RNAcentral describes it as "bacterial SSU rRNA". It matches the Rfam family "Bacterial small subunit ribosomal RNA", at positions 330 to 792 of the family's 1533-position model. The record is from RNAcentral.